GUCGAACGCUGGCGGCGUGCUUAACACAUGCAAGUCGAGCGGAAAGGCCCUUCGGGGUACUCGAGCGGCGAACGGGUGAGUAACACGUGAGUAACCUGCCCCAGACUUUGGGAUAACCCUCGGAAACGGGGGCUAAUACCGGAUACGACACAGCUUCGCAUGGGGUCUGUGUGGAAAGUUUUUCGGUUUGGGAUGGGCUCGCGGCCUAUCAGCUUGUUGGUGGGGUGAUGGCCUACCAAGGCGACGACGGGUAGCCGGCCUGAGAGGGCGACCGGCCACACUGGGACUGAGACACGGCCCAGACUCCUACGGGAGGCAGCAGUGGGGAAUAUUGCACAAUGGGCGGAAGCCUGAUGCAGCGACGCCGCGUGAGGGAUGACGGCCUUCGGGUUGUAAACCUCUUUCAGCAGGGACGAAGCGUAAGUGACGGUACCUGCAGAAGAAGCGCCGGCCAACUACGUG
Molecule: ribosomal RNA, 462 nt
Filed under: uncultured bacterium
Lineage: Bacteria
Description: partial 16S ribosomal RNA
Rfam family: Bacterial small subunit ribosomal RNA
Source: RNAcentral